This 397-nucleotide ribosomal RNA is filed under the name uncultured bacterium. RNAcentral's name for it is "bacterial SSU rRNA". It matches the Rfam family "Bacterial small subunit ribosomal RNA", at positions 32 to 410 of the family's 1533-position model. The record is from RNAcentral.
AAUCAACGCUGGCGGCGUGCCUCAGACAUGCAAGUCGAACGAGAAAGUCCCCUUCGGGGGAUGAGUAAAGUGGCGCACGGGUGAGUAACACGUAGGUAAUCUACCUUCGGGUGGGGAAUAACCCAGGGAAACUUGGGCUAACACCGCAUAAUGCAGCGGCACCACAUGGUGACAGUUGUUAAAGCGGGGGAUUUUAGGACCUCGCGCCUGAAGAGGAGCCUGCGGCGGAUUAGCUAGNGGUGAGGUAACGGCUCACCAAGGUAACGAUCCGUAGCCGGCCUGAGAGGGCGGUCGGCCACACUGACACUGACAUACGGGUCAGACUCCUACGGGAGGCAGCAGUCGGGAAUUUGGGCAAUGGGCGAAAGCCUGACCCAGCAACGCCGCGUGAAGGAUG